GAUUUUUGGCCGACUUGUCCAAUUGAGUAAAUAAUUAAUAUGACAUCAAAUAUGAAGAAAUAUUACUAGAAAUGAAAAUUGAAAUGAGUAGUGGAAGAAAAGAAAAGAAAAUGCAAAAAUAAGGCAAAAAUGACAUCAUUUAAAAAGUUGGACCAAUCACACUUAAGCCAUUGUUUGACUAACCAUUAAAAGAGAUAAGAGAAGACCAAAUUCAACAAAAUUUCAGCAGCCAUCCUUCUCUCCUUAGUGCAGCCAAAACGUGAACCUCUCUCCCUCUCUCAAACUCCAUUAAACCUCACUUCUCAAGCUUAAUUUCUCCCUUGUUUCACCACAAAACCCUAACCUCUCUUCAUUAAAAUUUUACUCCACACCUUAAACAACCUUUUGGCAGCCUUGAAAGUGAAGGAAAGUGAAGUUUAGAGGUGGGAAAAAUCUGCCCUAAGUGAGGUUAGUGCUACAAACUUCAUUCUCCUUCUUUUAAUCUUAGUUAGAAUAUCAUUUGAGCUAAGAAAUUUUAAAGAAUUGAAGUAAAUUACAUGAGUUAUGGUACUUUAAAUUUUCAGCAGCCCUAUGGAAGUAUGAGGUUGAUUGUUUUGAUAAAUUUAAAGUGGCUAGAAAUGAUGGUUAAAGUAUUAAAACACAUGGACAUUAAACUAAGUAUGUUAAUUAAGUUCAUGAGUAAAUUUAGUUGGAUAUUAGGGUUUGGAAGGGUGAAAAUGUGAAUUGGCUUAGGAAAUUGUUAGGGCACAUUGUAAUGGUCAAUUAGUGAC
Molecule: unclassified non-coding RNA, 770 nt
Filed under: Hevea brasiliensis (rubber tree)
Lineage: Eukaryota; Viridiplantae; Streptophyta; Magnoliopsida; Malpighiales; Euphorbiaceae
Source: RNAcentral